RNAcentral lists this ribosomal RNA (2378 nucleotides) under Triticum aestivum (bread wheat). Its description in RNAcentral is "partial small subunit ribosomal RNA". The record is from RNAcentral. Lineage: Eukaryota; Viridiplantae; Streptophyta; Magnoliopsida; Poales; Poaceae.
GGGAGGGGGCGGGGAGACGGACGACGAGAAGAGGGGGUUUAGGUCGGGGCGGCAGCUCGUGGAGGCGGGGUUGCGGUCGCUGAGGCGGGUGAUGGGUAGCGGCCUGGGGAGCGCUGGAGGCGGGAGAUGGGGUUGCGGCCGCUGGGGGUGGUAGACGUAGAGGGGAGGGGAAGAGAGGUCGUUUUAGGUGGCCUAGCUGAGCUGGGUGUUUCCGGCGCGGGUCUAGGCGGCCAUCUCCUCCUCCUCGGAGGAGGGCGGUGGUGGAACGGAGGAGGGCGGUGCUCGUCUCGUCUAGCCCGGCGUACUGUCGCCCGUACCUCCUCCUGCGCCGCCGACGACGACGGCGCCGCGGGCUGAGCACCCUCUACCGGAUGGAGCUACCCAGGUACUCGGCGGACAAGGAGAGGAGGAGGAGGAGGCCACCGCGCCGUGUUUCCCAGAGGAGGAGCGGGCUGGAGCGGCUGCUGGCGGUAGUCGAAGAGCUACCAAGUCCCGGGCGGCGGCGAAGUCCCGGGGGAGUAGGGUGGUGGCCAAGUCCCACAAGAGCCGGAGUCUAGCACACGGAACCACAAAACAGGACUUUAUCCGAGAUACAUAUGUAGAAAGGACACACCUAACAAGAAAAGUACGACAAUUUAUAACUGUUUGACAACCUCGUCACAAGGACGGUUCCUGAGAUUAACUAGUCACGUAAAAGCUUAACUUAGAUCGGGACAACCUUUACUACACUUGUACGACAAAAAAACAUCAGUACGAAUGAAUUUUCUAUGACUAAGUAUCUAGUAAUCCAUCGAUCGGAAUGUGUACGAUACUUUACACACUGAACAAACUCCUCCAUCGACAAACUUCUAGAGACGUCGGCAACGGAUGAUCAUGUAAGUAUCAUCUACCGAGAACGACAAACUGGGACAAGUAUAUAUGUUAAAAACAAACCUUCUAGAGUGUUUGACUAUCAUCUCAAUCUCGUAUAAGUACUCACGGAACUGAACAGUAUAACGGUCGUCUAAACACUCUCUACAUGUUCCAGUAAUUCGACACAAACACAAGGACAGAAAACGUAUUGACAACAUCCUCGGAAGGACCACCAAUCACAGAAACAAUCGAAAGACUUUAUCGUAAUUCUUUUACGAGUCUACACUUAUUUGACAAACUGAGAUUAUCUAACCACAGGGAAGGUUCAAUAGAAUGUAUAAAGACGAAGUAAGAUACCAAAAUAACUAUCAUCGAGUAAUCAGAGUACCAAUACCUCCAAAUGGAUCAAAUAAUAACUACAGAAAAGACAUCAAAAAAACCAAUCGAAAUGAGAAAAGGAUUAAUGGUACGAACAUUAUAAACAACUACUUGGUCAUCAAAAUUCCGUAAACGUCAUCGAAGGCAACACUAAAUACUAUCAGUCGAUUCCAAGGGGCCCAAGUCAAUGCUUUAACAGAAACACACAAAGGGAGGGAACGAAUAGAAGACCGACCACUCGUAAAACGACGUGUUACGAGUAAAACGACGAUCACAGGAAAAGUGUCAAAAAAAUGAUACAAAACCGGAUCAAAACAAGUGCACAUAUUAUUCGUAGGACUUACGAGUAAAUCGUCACAUAAUUAUUGUGACGAACAAAACAAGUGCACAUAAGUCUAAUUAUGUGACACAAUAAUUCGACGUGUUACGAGUAGGACAACCGAUGAACAGCUACAAUAGGCGUAUUGAUAUCCGACGGUACAGAAAAGGUGAAAAGAAAAGCGAAAGACAUUACGAUUGAACUGCCAUUGGGAUAUCAAACAACCGACAACGUUGGGUCGUCGCCACGAAGGUAAAAUUGCGUACAUGAUCACACGAUUUUGAACGUUUUCUGUGUUUAGAACUCGAAAGAAAUAGCCGAACAACGACGACGAGGAACACAUGUUACUAACUACAACAACAUCAAUCACAACAUCUCCUUCUUUCUCCUACAUAAAUAUAAUGAACGAAGACGACGAAUAUAUAUCUGGACAUACAUACAAAUGAAGUAAAGAAGGAACAGAGAAGCUAGGGGAGGAUUACUUAAACAAACAAGCUAAACCUAAUCGUCCGAGCAGGGACCUGGUCUACAAGUUCAUGUCGGGGUAGGUGGCGUAGCUGGACCUCGGUCUACGACCCGAAAUUACAAAGAAGCACUCGUAGUCAUUUUUCUUCAGCCUCCUUCUUAUCAAGAACGAGUAACCUCGAUCAAGACUCUCAUUACCUCAGGAAAUACGACGAGGAUAAACAUACACACAAUACACUACAUCGUCUUACACCGAGGACACUAACAUGUGAACACCUCGAACAAUAGACUAACAUUUGAACUACGACUAGUGUAAACAUACACACAAUAUACUACAUCGUGAAACUACCAACUAUUAUAAACU